AGUGAACGCUGGCGGUAGGCCUAACACAUGCAAGUCGAACGGCAGCACAGUAAGAGCUUGCUCUUACGGGUGGCGAGUGGCGGACGGGUGAGGAAUACAUCGGAAUCUACUUUUUCGUGGGGGAUAACGUAGGGAAACUUACGCUAAUACCGCAUACGACCUGCGGGUGAAAGCAGGGGAUCUUCGGACCUUGCGCGAUUGAAUGAGCCGAUGUCGGAUUAGCUAGUUGGCGGGGUAAAGGCCCACCAAGGCGACGAUCCGUAGCUGGUCUGAGAGGAUGAUCAGCCACACUGGAACUGAGACACGGUCCAGACUCCUACGGGAGGCAGCAGUGGGGAAUAUUGGACAAUGGGCGCAAGCCUGAUCCAGCCAUACCGCGUGGGUGAAGAAGGCCUUCGGGUUGUAAAGCCCUUUUGCUGGGAAAGAAAAGCAGCAGGUUAAUACCCCGCUGUUCUGACGGUACCCAAAGAAUAAGCACCGGCUAACUUCGUG
RNAcentral lists this ribosomal RNA (492 nucleotides) under uncultured bacterium. Its description in RNAcentral is "partial 16S ribosomal RNA". It matches the Rfam family "Bacterial small subunit ribosomal RNA", at positions 29 to 507 of the family's 1533-position model. The record is from RNAcentral.